RNAcentral lists this ribosomal RNA (233 nucleotides) under uncultured bacterium. Its description in RNAcentral is "partial 16S ribosomal RNA". It matches the Rfam family "Bacterial small subunit ribosomal RNA", at positions 100 to 334 of the family's 1533-position model. The record is from RNAcentral.
CGGGACGGGUGAGUAAUGUUCGGGAAACCGCCCGAUGGAGGGGGAUAACUACUGGAAACGGUAGCUAAUACCGCAUAACGUCGCAAGACCAAAGAGGGGGACCUUCGGGCCUCUUGCCAUCGGAUGUGCCCAGAUGGGAUUAGCUAGUAGGUGGGGUAACGGCUCACCUAGGCGACGAUCCCUAGCUGGUCUGAGAGGAUGACCAGCCACACUGGAACUGAGACACGGUCCAG